GCAGGCUGCAACUCGCCUGCAUGAAGUCGGAAUUGCUAGUAAUCGCGGAUCAGCACGCCGCGGUGAAUACGUUCCCGGGCCUUGUACACACCGCCCGUCACACCAUGAGAGCCGGUAACACCCGAAGUCAAUAGUCUAACCGCAAGGAGGACAUUGCCGAAGGUGGGAUUGGUAAUUGGGGUGAAGUCGUAACAAGGUACC
This 201-nucleotide ribosomal RNA is filed under the name uncultured bacterium. Its description in RNAcentral is "partial 16S ribosomal RNA". It matches the Rfam family "Bacterial small subunit ribosomal RNA", at positions 1300 to 1500 of the family's 1533-position model. The record is from RNAcentral.